CACUUAUAUUUAGCAUCCUCUUUAAUGUGUUCAUCCAUCCAGAGAGAUAAUCAUGACAAAUAUCUUUACUCCUAGUGUACAGAUGAGGUAAUUGAGACCCAACAUGUCCAAAGUCACAUGGAAAGACAGAAGAAGAGCUCAGGCCGCUAAAGGAGCUGGGAGGUUAGAGGGGUUUCAGCAAUUACCUAGUCCCAAACCCUUACUGAACAGAUGAGAGAACUGAGGCUUAAAGGGGUUAAUAAAGCUUUGCUGGUCUGACGUGGAGAUCCCCUGGCCCUCCCCACUGCUGGGGCAUUCUAGUGCCACCAAGGGAGAGAUGACAGAAAGCUUCUAACCUGCUUCUAUGCUCUGUUCACUAGCUCAGUGUGAAGAGCAGGACAGUGAGGCCUGGUCCUUCUGGUUCUCCUAUGUGGGAUGCUGCCUCAGCAUGGCUUGAUGAGUGAUGCGAGAUCCGCACCCAGGAUCCAAAGUGGCGAAACCCUGGACUGCUGGAGCAGAGCAAGUGAACUUAACCACUUGGCCCGGGGCUGGCCCCACUUCAAGUAUUCUUGAAAAAAAAAGAAUAAAGUGGGAUAACUUGUUGCAUCAGAUAUUAAGACUUAUAAAGUUACAGUAAUUAACACAGUG
RNAcentral lists this long non-coding RNA (627 nucleotides) under Equus caballus (horse). RNAcentral describes it as "lncRNA (ENSECAG00000059568.1)". The record is from RNAcentral. Lineage: Eukaryota; Metazoa; Chordata; Mammalia; Perissodactyla; Equidae.